GGGAUCCACACCCAGACAUGCGCACCCAGUGAGGAAACAGAGAGGUGUGUGCAGAAGGGACAAGAAAAGAAAUGUGAUUUGAGGACUGAGGAAAAUCUGGGCUGAGCAGGUGGGAGACUCAGGUUCUGUUGCGGAUCGAGCGUCACAUCGGACCACGUGGGAGAUCUGGGCUUCUCCCCACAGCGUACCAACUCACUGCCUGACCCUGAUGAAAUUAUGUGCCAGAGGGCAGCUUCUGGCCUGGCCGCUGCUCGGAGCUGUGGCUCUCUCGAUCACUCCGCGGGACUUGCCAGCUCCGACCACCCCUGGGAGGCCUAGGAGAACCACGGUCAGUGGGCACAGGGCAAGAGCACAGAUGGAAACCUAUAUGCCCCAUGGCUAAAUAUCCAACAUUUAUAAAUCAAGUGAGCAAGCUGUCAAAUAGAAUGUUGGAUUUUCCUGCCUCCAUGAGUAUGCAGUCAGAAUGACCUGGAAAGUCAAGUUUGAAUUUAGAAUUCUUAGACUUUUCAAAGUCCCUCCAUGAUUGUGGUGGGGACAUAUGAGAGAACCGGGCUGGUGAUGCGACCACGUGCGUGCUGGGGGCUCCAGGGCAGUUGGCUGACUUGGUACAAACACAAACUGUGUUUUAACCUCAUCAAUACCUUAUGCUUUUUAUUUUCUCCUAGGCCAAUGUGGCAAAAGAUCUAAAGGCAGUAUGCACAGUGGUUAAGAGCUGCAUUCAAAUUCCAGGGCUGCCAAAAUUUAGCACUUAAUCUCUUUGAGUCUCAACUUCCCCAUCUGUAAAAUGGGACAAAUGGUACUUCCCUGAGAAAGUUAUUGUGAUUAUUAAAAGAGGUAGCCCCUGUAAAGCCCUUAGCUUGGUCCUGCAACAUAAUAAUUGCUCAAUAAAUGGUGAACUAUUUUACUACUAUAAUUUCUCCAUGCAUGGGCAAUGACAGCAUCAGAACAUGAAGUUGUCUGCCCGGUCUCUUCAUUGCACACACACACUCAAACAAGUCACUCAACUGAGCAGAAGCAGAAGUCUCCAACCUUCCCAUAGUCUUGGGAUUUGCCCUAGCUAAAAAAAAAAAAAAUGGGGCUGCGUCAA
Molecule: long non-coding RNA, 1087 nt
Organism: Suricata suricatta (meerkat)
Lineage: Eukaryota; Metazoa; Chordata; Mammalia; Carnivora; Herpestidae
Exons: 2
Source: RefSeq, a predicted model, not a curated record